This 208-nucleotide long non-coding RNA is filed under the name Bos taurus (domestic cattle). Its description in RNAcentral is "long non-coding RNA NONBTAT024555". The record is from RNAcentral. Lineage: Eukaryota; Metazoa; Chordata; Mammalia; Artiodactyla; Bovidae.
CCUGCUUUUGCCUGGUUACUCUGUGGGAUUGAGUCUAUUUUUGGAUUACCUUCUGUGGGCUCUGAGAGGAAGUCUUACACCCCGAGGGAGAUUUGAGGUUUGGGCUUCAUGUAUUGUAGCAAGAGUCAGAGCUGAACUAUAAAGGACAAAAACUGCAGUUUUUGUCCACAGUCAUUAUCUCAGGCUAGUCGCUGUACUUGAUGGGAGA